This 496-nucleotide ribosomal RNA is filed under the name uncultured bacterium. RNAcentral describes it as "partial 16S ribosomal RNA". It matches the Rfam family "Bacterial small subunit ribosomal RNA", at positions 28 to 507 of the family's 1533-position model. The record is from RNAcentral.
GAUGAACGCUGGCGGCGUGCCUAAUACAUGCCAGUCGAGCGAACGGACGAGAAGCUUGCUUCUCUGAUGUUAGCGGCGGACGGGUGAGUAACACGUGGAUAACCUACCUAUAAGACUGGGAUAACUUCGGGAAACCGUAGCUAAUCCCGGAUAAUCUUUUGAACCGCAUGGUUCAAAAGUGAAAGACGGUCUUGCUGUCACUUAUAGAUGGAUCCGCGCUGCAUUAUCUAGUUGGUAACGUAACGGCUUACCAAGGCAACGAUGCCUAGCCGACCUGAGAGGGUGAACGGCCACACUGGAACUGAGACACGGUCCAGACUCCUAGGGGAGGCAGCAGUAGGGAAGCUUCCGCAAUGGGCGAAAGCCUGACGGAGCAACGCCGCGUGAGUGAUGAAGGUCUUCGGAUCGUAAAACUCUGUUAUUAGGGAAGAACAUAUGUGUAAGUACUGUGCACAUCUUGACGGUACCUAAUCAGAAAGCCACGGCUAACUACGUG